GACACCACUUUUGGGAAGUAUACUGUGUGCUGUAGGUACUCUGGGGAUUAAAGAGUAUGCAGAAACUUUUAGCUCAUUGUUUCCACUGAGUACUGUCAAAGUGCUGAUAACACAGGCUGCCAAAAGAGUAUUUUCUAGACAAAACAGUAAAGGGGAUGCAGAGCUACUGAGCCACUCUCUAUUCCCUGCCUGAAGCAUCUCCACCCUUUCAUUCUAAGCAGGUACCCUUGCUUCUAAUACCACAAAAAGCAGGAUAUAGAUGAAUUGUUACCUGCCUAGAUGCUGAGACCAGACUACCUCCGUUGUUGCAACAUGAAGUGAUUGCACUAUAAGGUUGUACAUGUCAUGCAACAUCUUUGUUGGAUGCCUACCCAUCUUGCCUCUAAAAACACCAUGGCUAUUAGAUAUCACCACAGAUAUCUGUGAGAAAGAGUUCCUCGGUUAUUAUUCUGUCUUUGUUAUCUAUAUAUUGGAUCUUCCUUAAGUGAGACUUCUGCAUGAUCUCCAAGCAAGGAGAGGCUAUCUAGCAUGGGGGAGUGGAGGUCUUACAUAGCACAGAGGGGUCAAGAUUUUCAAGCACAGAAGACCAGAUGUUUCUGUUUCAGAUGCCAUUAGGAAUAUUUGUGAUACAUGGGAGGAGGUCAAAAUAUCAACAUUAACAGAAUUUUGGAACAACGUGGUGACAACCCUCACAGGUGAUUUAAAGAGCUCAAGACUUCAGUGGAGGAAAUUACUGAAGAUGUGGUGAAAAUAACAAGAGAACUGGAUUCAGAAG
Homo sapiens (human) is the source of this 775-nucleotide long non-coding RNA. RefSeq lists it as uncharacterized. The transcript has 3 exons. Lineage: Eukaryota; Metazoa; Chordata; Mammalia; Primates; Hominidae. The record is from RefSeq and is a predicted model, not a curated record.